Molecule: ribosomal RNA, 497 nt
Filed under: uncultured bacterium
Lineage: Bacteria
Description: partial 16S ribosomal RNA
Rfam family: Bacterial small subunit ribosomal RNA
Source: RNAcentral
GAUGAACGCUGGCGGCGUGCCUAAUACAUGCAAGUCGAGCGAACAGACGAGGAGCUUGCUCCUCUGACGUUAGCGGCGGACGGGUGAGUCACACGUGGAUAACCUACCUAUAAGACUGGGAUAACUUCGGGACACCGGAGCUAAUACCGGAUAAUAUAUUGAACCGCGUGGUUCAAUGGUGAAAGACGGUUUUGCUGUCACUUAUCGAUGGAUCCGCGCCGCAUUAGCUAGUUGGUAAGGUAACGGCUUACCAAGGCGACGAUGCGUAGCCGACCGGAGAGGGUGAUCGGCCACACGGGAACUGAGACACGGUCCAGACUCCUACGGGAGGCAGCAGUAGGGAAUCUUCCGCAAUGGGCGAAAGCAUGACGGAGCAACGCCGCGUGAGUGAUGAAGGUCUUCGGAUCGUAAAACUCUGUUAUUAGGGAAGAACAAAUGUGUAAGUAACUAUGCACGUCUUGACGGUACCUAAUCAGAAAGCCACGGCUAACUACGUG